Molecule: long non-coding RNA, 1509 nt
Organism: Oncorhynchus tshawytscha (Chinook salmon)
Lineage: Eukaryota; Metazoa; Chordata; Actinopteri; Salmoniformes; Salmonidae
Source: Ensembl
UGCACUUUCGAUGAAAUCUUCAUCAGCGCUUAAUGAUGAUGAUGCAUUGAGUAGAAUGCUCAGUCGGGCAUCAGUCCAAACGAACGUUAAAAACAAUAUUGUGACGAAACAUGCAACCAAUGCAUUCAGCUUAUCCAAACACUUUCAGAUCAGCAGUCACUAUGGGAAGAUUUAUAGCAUGGUAGCCAGGUCGGUUUCUGCUCGAGACCCAGACCUUGCCGCCAGGCUAACCGGUGAAGGGAGCCAUGGUAGAGUAUUGGAGCGUAGCCCCUGUUACGUAACGUAGUACCAUAGUGAAAUGUAGCUGUUUUCUGUGUUCUAUUUGACCUUUCACCCCUAUUGAUCUCUCACCUCUUUCGCUUGGUCUCUGUGUGUUUGACAUGUUCCCACUACAAUUAAUAGUCAGUUUAAAAAGGAUAACUAUUUGACUGUAUAAAUAUACAUACAUAAUAUAUAGGUAUAUGAAUAUAGAUUAAUUUAACCGAUAGAUAGAUAACCAAGAGAAAACAGAUAGUCAAACGUUACUAUAGAUAAGGUUGAUCAUGAAUCAAAUUGAUAAGUGAUCUGGCCUUUUAUCCCCAACUCACCAGUCACUCCUCUAUAGUCAUUAUACACACGGACAGCUCCAGUGUUUUUGUCAAUUAUUGGAAUCCAGUGGCUUCAUCUUAGUGUGUGUUGUAUGCAUUGUCUUGACAUCAUAUCCUUCAUAUCUUCAUCAUAACCUGAUAGAUUUAGUCUCAUACCUUUAGACUGCAUUUAUUGUAUAAUGAAUGCUUUGAGUGAAUGCAGUGGGGUUGGGCUCAAUAUGGCAGUCAAUUCAGGAAGUAAACUGAAAUUCCAAUUCGAUGAUUGAAAUAGGGGCCUGUAUUUUUAAUGACUUCUUAAUGAAUUGAAAAGGAGAAGCUAUUUAUGUUUUUUAAGUAGCUGAUUUUAAAUUCAAAUCUCUUCCUGAAUUGGCAAUUCGAAUUGAGCCCAACCCUUGAAUGCAGAAGAGUAUCUAUAUGACACAUAUCUAUCUAAAGGACAUUCUAGUAUCCAACAGUAUAUAAGUAUAACUGGCAUAGCAAUGCUGUAACUUCAAUCAGUCCACACCUCUUAAACCUCACUAACACAUACUACUCAGUGCUUAUGGAAAUAUCAAUGCUUUGAGACGGACAGAUAAACAGACAGAUAAACAGACAGAUAAACAGACAGAUAAACAGACAGACAGAUAAACAGACAGACAGACAGAUAAACAGACAGAUAGACAGACAGAUAAACAGACAGAUAAACAGAUAGAUAAACAGACAGACAGAUAGACAGACAGAUAAACAGACAGACAGACAGACAGAUAAACAGACAGAUAGAUAGAUAAACAGACAGAUAAACAGACAGACAGAUAGACAGACAGAUAGACAGACAGACAGAUAAACAGACAGAUAAACAGAUAGAUAAACAGACAGACAGAUAGACAGACAGAUAAACAGACAGAUAAACAGACAGAUAGACAGACAGAUAAACAGACAGAUA